Molecule: ribosomal RNA, 505 nt
Filed under: uncultured bacterium
Lineage: Bacteria
Description: bacterial SSU rRNA
Rfam family: Bacterial small subunit ribosomal RNA
Source: RNAcentral
GACGAACGCUGGCGGCGUGCUUAACACAUGCAAGUCGAACGAGAAGAGAUGAGAAGCUUGCUUCUUAUCGAUUCGAGUGGCAAACGGGUGAGUAACGCGUAAGCAACCUGCCCUCUAGAUGGGGACAACAGCUGGAAACGGCUGCUAAUACCGAAUACGUUCUUUCUGUCGCAUGGCAGAGGGAAGAAAGGGAGGCUCUUCGGAGCUUUCGCUGGAGGAGGGGCUUGCGUCUGAUUAGCUAGUUGGAGGGGUAACGGCCCACCAAGGCGACGAUCAGUAGCCGGUCUGAGAGGAUGAACGGCCACAUUGGGACUGAGACACGGCCCAGACUCCUACGGGAGGCAGCAGUGGGGAAUCUUCCGCAAUGGACGAAAGUCUGACGGAGCAACGCCGCGUGAACGAUGACGGCCUUCGGGUUGUAAAGUUCUGUUAUACGGGACGAAUGGUACGACGGCCAAUACCCGUCGUAAGUGACGGUACCGUAAGAGAAAGCCACGGCUAACUA